This 508-nucleotide ribosomal RNA is filed under the name uncultured bacterium. RNAcentral describes it as "partial 16S ribosomal RNA". It matches the Rfam family "Bacterial small subunit ribosomal RNA", at positions 30 to 523 of the family's 1533-position model. The record is from RNAcentral.
AUUGAACGCUGGCGGCAUGCCUUACACAUGCAAGUCGAACGGCAGCGGGGGAGAAGCUUGCUUUUCCUGCCGGCGAGUGGCGAACGGGUGAGUAAUACAUCGGAACGUGCCCUGUAGUGGGGGAUAACUAGUCGAAAGAUUAGCUAAUACCGCAUACGACCUGAGGGUGAAAGUGGGGGACCGCAAGGCCUCAUGCUAUAGGAGCGGCCGAUGUCUGAUUAGCUAGUUGGUGGGGUAAAGGCCUACCAAGGCGACGAUCAGUAGCUGGUCUGAGAGGACGAUCAGCCAGACUGGGACUGAGACACGGCCCAGAAUCCUACGGGAGGAAGCAGUGGGGAAUUUUGGACAAUGGGCGAAAGCCUGAUCCAGCAAUGCCGCGUGUGUGAAGAAGGCCUUCGGGUUGUAAAGCACUUUUGUCCGGAAAGAAAUGGCUCUGGUUAAUACCUGGGGUCGAUGACGGUACCGGAAGAAUAAGGACCGGCUAACUACGUGCCAGCCGCCGCUGUAA